RNAcentral lists this ribosomal RNA (212 nucleotides) under uncultured bacterium. Its description in RNAcentral is "partial 16S ribosomal RNA". It matches the Rfam family "Bacterial small subunit ribosomal RNA", at positions 1289 to 1500 of the family's 1533-position model. The record is from RNAcentral.
CAGUUCGGACUGUAGUCUGNAACCCGACUACAUGAAGCUGGAAUCGCUAGUAAUCGCGGAUCAGAAUGCCGCGGUGAAUACGUUCCCGGGUCUUGUACACACCGCCCGUCACACCAUGGGAGUCGGAAAUGCCCGAAGUCUGUGACCCAACCGCAAGGAGGGAGCAGCCGAAGGCAGGUCGGAUGACUGGGGUGAAGUCGUAACAAGGUACC